RNAcentral lists this ribosomal RNA (484 nucleotides) under uncultured bacterium. RNAcentral describes it as "partial 16S ribosomal RNA". It matches the Rfam family "Bacterial small subunit ribosomal RNA", at positions 30 to 507 of the family's 1533-position model. The record is from RNAcentral.
AUUGAACGCUGGCGGCAGGCCUAACACAUGCAAGUCGAGCGGAUGAAGGGAGCUUGCGCCUGGAUUCAGCGGCGGACGGGUGAGUAAUACCUAGGAAUCUGCCUGGUAGUGGGGGAUAACAUCCGGAAACGGGCGCUAAUACCACAUACGUCCUGAGGGAGAAAGUGGGGGAGCUUCGGACCGCACGCUAUCAGAUGAGCCUAGGUCGGAUUAGCUAGUUGGUUGGGUAAAGGCCUGCCAAGGCGACUAUCCGUAACUGGUCUGAGAGGAUGAUCAGUCACCCUGGAAAUGAGACACGGUCCAGACUCCUAAGGGAGGCAGCAGUGGGGAACAGUGGACAAUGGGCGAAAGCAUGAUACAGCCAUGCCGAGUGUGUGAAGAAGGUCUUCGGAUUGUAAAGCACUUUAAGUGGGGGGGAAGGGCAGUAAGUUAAUACCUUGCUGUUUUGACGUUACCAACAGAAUAAGCACCGGCUAACUUCGUG